RNAcentral lists this ribosomal RNA (253 nucleotides) under uncultured bacterium. RNAcentral's name for it is "partial 16S ribosomal RNA". It matches the Rfam family "Bacterial small subunit ribosomal RNA", at positions 524 to 776 of the family's 1533-position model. The record is from RNAcentral.
UACGUAGGGAGCAAGCGUUGUUCGGAUUUACUGGGCGUAAAGGGCGCGUAGGUGGCCCCAUAAGUCCGCUGUGAAAGUCAAAGGCUCAACCUUUGAAAGCCGGUGGAUACUGUGGGACUAGAGUACGGAAGAGGCGAGUGGAAUUCCUGGUGUAGCGGUGAAAUGCGCAGAUAUCAGGAAGAACACCUAUGGCGAAGGCAGCACUCUGGGACGGUACUGACGCUGAGACGCGAAAGCGUGGGGAGCGAACAGG